AGCAGUGGGGAAUAUUGCACAAUGGGGGAAACCCUGAUGCAGCCAUGCCGCGUGUGUGAAGAAGGCCUUCGGGUUGUAAAGCACUUUCAGUAGGGAGGAAAGGGUGAGUCUUAAUACGGCUCAUCUGUGACGUUACCUACAGAAGAAGGACCGGCUAACUCCGUGCCAGCAGCCGCGGUAAUACGGAGGGUCCGAGCGUUAAUCGGAAUUACUGGGCGUAAAGCGUGCGCAGGCGGUUUGUUAAGCGAGAUGUGAAAGCCCUGGGCUCAACCUAGGAAUAGCAUUUCGAACUGGCGAACUAGAGUCUUGUAGAGGGGGGUAGAAUUCCAGGUGUAGCGGUGAAAUGCGUAGAGAUCUGGAGGAAUACCGGUGGCGAAGGCGGCCCCCUGGACAAAGACUGACGCUCAUGCACGAAAGCGUGGGGAGCAAACAGGAUUAGAUACCCUGGUAGUCCACGCCGUAAACGAUGUCUACUCGGAGUUUGGUGUCUUGAACACUGGGGCUCUCAAGCUAACGCAUUAAGUAGACCGCCUGGGGAGUACGGCCGCAAGGUUAAAACUCAAAUGAAUUGACGGGGGCCCGCACAAGCGGUGGAGCAUGUGGUUUAAUUCGAUGCAACGCGAAGAACCUUACCUACUCUUGACAUCCACGGAAGAGACCAGAGAUGGACUUGUGCCUUCGGGAACCGUGAGACAGGUGCUGCAUGGCUGUCGUCAGCUCGUG
Molecule: ribosomal RNA, 723 nt
Filed under: uncultured Shewanella sp.
Lineage: Bacteria; Pseudomonadati; Pseudomonadota; Gammaproteobacteria; Alteromonadales; Shewanellaceae
Description: bacterial SSU rRNA
Rfam family: Bacterial small subunit ribosomal RNA
Source: RNAcentral